GACGAACGCUGGCGGCGUGCUUAACACAUGCAAGUCGAACGGAAAGGCCCUGCUUUUGUGGGGUGCUCGAGUGGCGAACGGGUGAGUAACACGUGAGUAACCUGCCCUUGACUUUGGGAUAACUUCAGGAAACUGGGGCUAAUACCGGAUAGGAGCUCCUGCUGCAUGGUGGGGGUUGGAAAGUUUUGGCGGUUGGGGAUGGACUCGCGGCUUAUCAGCUUGUUGGUGGGGUAGUGGCUUACCAAGGCUUUGACGGGUAGCCGGCCUGAGAGGGUGACCGGCGACAUUGGUACUGAGGUACGGCCCAGACUCCUACGGGAGGCAGCAGGGGGGAAUAUUGCACAAUGGGCGGAAGCCUGAUGCAGCAACGCCGCGUGCGGGAUGACGGCCUUCGGGUUGUAAACCGCUUUCGCCUGUGACGAAGCGUGAGUGACGGUAAUGGGUAAAGAAGCACCGGCUAACUCCGUG
RNAcentral lists this ribosomal RNA (468 nucleotides) under uncultured bacterium. RNAcentral describes it as "partial 16S ribosomal RNA". It matches the Rfam family "Bacterial small subunit ribosomal RNA", at positions 28 to 507 of the family's 1533-position model. The record is from RNAcentral.